GAAUAGGAGGGCGAUCUGGCUCUGACAUCUGUCACCCCGCUGAUCGCCAGCAUGGAUUCAGCUGAUCUGGCUGGCUAGGUGUGUCUCUCCUUCCUCCCUCAAUGCUGUUUGUCCCUCCCAAAGCUGUGUGCUUGGUCAGAUUGAAGAGCAUAACCACCCCCAACAGAGAAGGCCGAUUGCUGAACCAGAACAAUUAGUAAUGAUAAUGGAACAGAUUCAUUAGUAAUGAUAAUGGAACAUUUAAAUGAUAAAUCAUUGAAAAAUAAAGUCAAAAGACUUUUAAUAAUGAACUUUCUCAAAGCAUUCAUUUCCUU
This is a non-coding RNA of Cavia porcellus (domestic guinea pig), 314 nucleotides long. It matches the Rfam family "7SK RNA". Rfam says of the family: 7SK was discovered as an abundant small nuclear RNA in the mid-70s but a possible function has only recently been suggested. Two independent studies have found that 7SK RNA binds the CDK9/cyclin T complex (known as elongation factor P-TEFb). The record is from Rfam. Lineage: Eukaryota; Metazoa; Chordata; Mammalia; Rodentia; Caviidae.